Molecule: long non-coding RNA, 443 nt
Filed under: Carica papaya (papaya)
Lineage: Eukaryota; Viridiplantae; Streptophyta; Magnoliopsida; Brassicales; Caricaceae
Description: long non-coding RNA (CPAP_LNC003775)
Source: RNAcentral
AGCAAAUCAAAUUAACUGUUCUAGGAUUACAACUUAGCAAAUAAAAAAAGGUGAUCAUAUACUCUGUAUGAUCAUGACAAUCUUAACAAAGCUUGUAUUUACAUUUUUUUAGGAUGUAAUCAAAUAAAUAAAUUUAUAACAAGUGAUGUUGUAGUUCCAACCAAUAUUAGAUUGAGAUCAAGGCAACUAUGCACAAGGGAUUGUAGAACCCUAGUUAGCAUACGUCUGACACCAAUGCCUUUAACUUUGCAAAAUAUUAACAGACGACGUAUAAUAUUAUUUAGAGUAUUAAAGCUCUCUACAACUCUUAUUUUUUGUCCAUUUUUUAUUCUACCAUCGGCUAUCUUGUUGAGUUUCAUUUUAAUCCCAUUUCUCUUGUUUUGUGUCGUGCCAUGUGUUUUUGUCUUUAAAUCUGCAAGCUUUUUUUACAGAAUUGUCUACUU